This is a non-coding RNA of Oncorhynchus mykiss (rainbow trout), 1526 nucleotides long. Lineage: Eukaryota; Metazoa; Chordata; Actinopteri; Salmoniformes; Salmonidae. The record is from RefSeq and is a predicted model, not a curated record.
AGAUACCCGACAGGCUUUAAGACACAGAGAUGGUGCUCUGAUAAGGUAGCACAGCUGAGAAACGGCAAAAGGAGAGAGAGAGAAGAUGUAGGAGGCAGAGAGAGAGAGAGACAGAGACAGAGAGCUGUUUCUUCUGCUGUACUGUAGUUUGAAAGUCACAGAAAUAGCUGAGUCUUGCAGGAGACAACUUGAAGGGCUUUGGUGGUAUAAAUACCCUGCUUUAAAUGGAUUAAAGAAACCGCUCGGUCGCCUGUCACCGCCACACACAGGGGAGGGAGAGAGAGAGCUGGAGGAGACAGGAGGAGGAACAUACUGGAACUUACAGAAGGAAGAGGAAGGAGUUGAGGUAUCUAGUCUGUAUAUCGGACAGUGGUUGGUACGUGUGUGUGUGGAAGAAAACAUCAACUCGUCUACUGUUCUCUAUGACCGGCUGCUCUGAACUCACCUGGACAGACAGAUGAGAAGGAGAGAACACAGGGAAGGACAGUAGUGAAUCAGAUAGAGCUGCAGCUGCACCUCGUCGGCAGAGGACUACAGACUACCCACCAAAACGACCGGCUGGCUGACCGACCGACCGACUACUCCCCUUCGGUGGCUUUAUUGAAUGGGACCCUGGGCACAGAGCGGGGCUGGAGAAUUUAAAAUACGUGUCCCUCAGGAGUACUCCUGUCCUACACGCGUAGCUGUGCCCCGAGCAGCGAGCUGCGAAACACACAGCCAAUAAAUCAAUAGCAGGGACCUCAGAUUCCUCCAUUACCACCUUCCCCCCCCGGCUGGCCUGGCGGAGGACAGCAGCAGAGCUACAGAUGAGAACCUGCUGACCAGGGCCUAACCACCACAGCCCCUGGAGGACAGCCCCUGGAGGACAGCCGUGGAGGACAGCCCUGGAGGACAGCCGUGGAGGACAGCCCUGGUUCUGGACCCUCUCUAACCAUCAACACAAGACAAGGGUGUUCUGACUGCAGUGGUGAGGAGGGCGGAGGCCUGGUUGUGGUCCCUCUGGUUCCAUUUGGAGCUACAAUACACCCGAAGGCAGCUAAACACAGAGAAGCCCACAAUGACAUCCUGAAAAUACUUAUUUUAUAGUUAUUUUCUCUCUCCUCUUAUUUCUAGACCUUCAAGUCCUUGUGUUUUUAUUCAAGCAGGUUUUUACACAGGGAGAAAAUAACACGAGUAUAAGCAUUGUCCGUGAUGAUGCUUUUUGAGGAUUACGUCUUGAUGUUUGACAGUUACAGGGAAAUUGAAUUCAGGCUUUAAAACCCCGUCCCAAUAUUUCCCAUGUCCUCUGUCGCUACAGUAAUCAAGGUUGUCCACGUUCAGAGUGUUAUUUGAGACUGAGCAACAAUAGCAUGUUCAUGACCGUAUACACACUCCAUCUCAUGUGAGAGGAGAGACAAGGGCCCCAGCUUUAAUCCACCGGCCCCUGGAACAAAUCAUCUGACGUGUGAAAAGAAAAAGACACAACACAACAGAACAGAACAGAACCCAACAGAACACAACAGAACCCAACCCAACAGAACCCAACA